RNAcentral lists this ribosomal RNA (380 nucleotides) under uncultured soil crust cyanobacterium. RNAcentral's name for it is "bacterial SSU rRNA". It matches the Rfam family "Bacterial small subunit ribosomal RNA", at positions 376 to 770 of the family's 1533-position model. Lineage: Bacteria; Bacillati; Cyanobacteriota. The record is from RNAcentral.
CGAAAGCCUGACGGAGCAAGACCGCGUGAGGGAGGAAGGCUCUUGGGUUGUAAACCUCUUUUGUCAGGGAAGAACACAAUGACGGUACCUGACGAAUCAGCAUCGGCUAACUCCGUGCCAGCAGCCGCGGUAAUACGGAGGAUGCAAGCGUUAUCCGGAAUGAUUGGGCGUAAAGCGUCCGCAGGUGGCAGGACAAGUCUGCUGUCAAAGGUCAAGGCUUAACUUUGAACAGGCAGUGGAAACUGUACAGCUAGAGUGUGGUGGGGGCAGAGGGAAUUCCCAGUGUAGCGGUGAAAUGCGUAGAGAUUGGGAAGAACACCAGUGGCGAAAGCGCUCUGCUAGGCCAUAACUGACACUCAGGGACGAAAGCUAGGGGAGCG